This is a long non-coding RNA of Rhinichthys klamathensis goyatoka, 207 nucleotides long. RefSeq lists it as uncharacterized. Lineage: Eukaryota; Metazoa; Chordata; Actinopteri; Cypriniformes; Leuciscidae. The transcript is spliced from 2 exons. The record is from RefSeq and is a predicted model, not a curated record.
AUGCAGGUUUUUAGGUAUUUUACGAAAUGCUAAUCCUUUUUAGGCUUACACAAUUUUGAUCAUUUGCAGCUGAAAUCAAAUUUUUGACGUUAUGGCUAUAGUAUGGAAAAUUCAAUGACAGGAAGUGUGCGCCUGUCAAGCAGAUAAUAUCAGUAACACUUUACAACAAGAUUCCUAUUACUAACAUUAUUUAACAACAGUAGUUAA